Cavia porcellus (domestic guinea pig) is the source of this 324-nucleotide unclassified non-coding RNA. Its record names the gene 7SK. It matches the Rfam family "7SK RNA". Rfam says of the family: 7SK was discovered as an abundant small nuclear RNA in the mid-70s but a possible function has only recently been suggested. The record is from Ensembl. NCBI's taxonomy places the organism in Eukaryota, Metazoa, Chordata, Mammalia, Rodentia, Caviidae.
GGAUAUGAGGCUGACCUGGCUAUAACAUCUAUCACCCCACUGAUCGCCAGGGUUGAUAGCUGAUCUGGCUGGCUAGGCAGGUGUUCCCUACCUCCCUCACUACUCCAUGUACGACCCUCCUGAAGCUGUACACUUGGUUGAAGAGGACGACCACUCCUGAUAAGAGAGGGUUUCUUUGGUGAAGAAUAUAUACAUAGCUGUACUCCCCUGCAAGAACCUCCAAAUAAUCCCUCACAAGUUUCAACCUCAUCGCCCCCAUCUCAAAACCAAAAACAAAAAUUUAAAAAGGGCUAAGGAUGUAGCUCAGUGUGAAGGCCCUGGUUU